CCAGCCACUUGGAGAAGUUGCUGAGUGCUUGUACGUUAAUGGUUUUUUCUGUGUUUGAAGGGCUGUUUAGAUUAUUGCUAAUUGGUUUCUGUUGGUUCCAAUUAAUUUGUAAGAAACACCACAAUGCGUUGGUGAUAUAAUUGUAAAGUUUUUAUUUGUUAUUAGGUUGAUAUUAGUGAAGAGCAUUGGAGAUUUGUGCUUGUUCUGCUCCAGUUGCCUCAUUCUUGUUAGUUACUCCCAACUUGCUUCAAGUCCUUGGUUAGAGAGAAGUGUGAAUUAAA
Molecule: unclassified non-coding RNA, 281 nt
Filed under: Hevea brasiliensis (rubber tree)
Lineage: Eukaryota; Viridiplantae; Streptophyta; Magnoliopsida; Malpighiales; Euphorbiaceae
Source: RNAcentral